This 814-nucleotide ribosomal RNA is filed under the name uncultured Clostridia bacterium. RNAcentral describes it as "bacterial SSU rRNA". It matches the Rfam family "Bacterial small subunit ribosomal RNA", at positions 66 to 896 of the family's 1533-position model. The record is from RNAcentral. Lineage: Bacteria; Bacillati; Bacillota; Clostridia.
GUCUGAUUUGAUGCUUGCAUUAAUGAAAGAUGAGCGGCGGACGGGUGAGUAACGCGUGGGUAACCUGCCCUAUACACAUGGAUAACAUACUGAAAAGUUUACUAAUACAUGAUAAUAUAUAUUUACGGCAUCGUAGAUAUAUCAAAGUGUUAGCGGUAUAGGAUGGACCCGCGUCUGAUUAGCUAGUUGGUGAGAUAACUGCCCACCAAGGCGACGAUCAGUAGCCGACCUGAGAGGGUGAUCGGCCACAUUGGAACUGAGACACGGUCCAAACUCCUACGGGAGGCAGCAGUGGGGAAUAUUGCACAAUGGGCGCAAGCCUGAUGCAGCAACGCCGCGUGAACGAUGAAGGUCUUCGGAUCGUAAAGUUCUGUUGCAGGGGAAGAUAAUGACGGUACCCUGUGAGGAAGCCCCGGCUAACUACGUGCCAGCAGCCGCGGUAAUACGUAGGGGGCUAGCGUUAUCCGGAUUUACUGGGCGUAAAGGGUGCGUAGGUGGUCUUUCAAGUCGGUGGUUAAAGGCUACGGCUCAACCGUAGUUAGCCUCCGAAACUGGAAGACUUGAGUGCAGGAGAGGAAAGUGGAAUUCCCAGUGUAGCGGUGAAAUGCGUAGAUAUUGGGAGGAACACCAGUAGCGAAGGCGGCUUUCUGGACUGCAACUGACACUGAGGCACGAAAGCGUGGGUAGCAAACAGGAUUAGAUACCCUGGUAGUCCACGCUGUAAACGAUGAGUACUAGGUGUCGGGGGUUACCCCCCUCGGUGCCGCAGCUAACGCAUUAAGUACUCCGCCUGGGGAGUACGCACGCAAGUGUG